GGGAGGAUCGCUUGAGCCUGGGAGGUCGAGGCUGCCAUGAGCAGUGACUGCGCCAAUGCACUCCAUCCAGCCUAGGCAAUAGUAGUAUCUUGUCUCAAAAGAAAAAAAAAAAAGAAAAUUGUCUAUUUCUAAAAACCUGUAUUUAAACCUCAUCAUUUCCCCUCAAACAAGUAGCUUGUAUAAAAUUACUCAUAACAUGAACAUGCUAAAGAAAUUCUUUUGAAUGAUGAAAAGUUACUUUGUACAUUAUAUUAAAAUUUAUUUUCUAUGUAUACCCAAAUUUUCAAGUAUUAGAUUUACUUAGAAAUUCACCAGUGUUAUCAUUAUACAAUUGGCUGGAAUUAACAGUUGCAAUACAGUUAUUCUAGCUUUUCAUAUUCAAUUUGAAUGAUCAGAAAAGUAUAUUAGUCACACAGAAUUAAAUAUUUUAGAUAGUAAGAAUCUUACACUUUAUUAGAUAAUAAAACAUAAUUGAUAUUUGCUUAAGUAACAAAAAAGUUAAGAAAUUGGGUUAUAAGCAAAGGAACAUAAGUGUAAAAUGUGUAGAAAGAUAAAUAUUUUCCAAAUAAAAUUCUAAUAAAAGGCUAAACAUUCUCAAAUAUUUUACAUACAUGAAGAAUAAAUUAUUUCUGGUUAACAUGUUUUUGCCUUAGUGCCAAAAAAGCCAGAACAAAUUUGAUAAGCUCACAUUAAAAUCAAAGUUUUCUAGAUAUGAAUUCUAUAUACCAUCUCUAUAUUUGUUUAGAAUUUUGCAAAAUUCUUAGAAGAUUGCAUGUUAGGGUGGGGGAAGAUAAAUGCUUGCCAAUACUGACAUGGUUAAUUAACAGACAGGCUUGAAAGGAGAAGGCUAGAAGAGGGAAGAUUAUGUCACUAAGCAUAGCUACAAAAGGAAAAGCCACAUGGAAGCAGAGACAAAGGCAAUCCCGACACACAGAGGCAUGUUUGUUGCGGCUCAGGGUUUCUGUUUUUCAAGUGUUCAGAGACGAAUUCCAGCAAGACUUCUGGUUUGAGUCAAGCCUUUCAACCGAGGUGCUUGGCAUACUUAACGGAAAAAGCGAGUACAUUCAGAUUUAGUUUUGCUAGAUAUUAAACUAGAAAACUGGAUGACAGUAAAACCAAUACAGAAACAAAAAGUCAUGUUUCCAGUAAAGAACCGUACACACAAGCAGGUUUUGCUUAUUAAUGUAGCAGGAGAGCAUGGAAAUCGGAGUUCAGACUCUUUAGAAAAGACAAAAGGCAGGGGAGGGGAGAGAAGAAAAGGAGGAAUGCAGAGAAGCCCUCCAAGAAUGAUGAGUGAUUCGUGCAGGAGAGGGAAAUACAGACGUUCCGUCCAUGUGAGAUUCUGCUUCAGGUAUUGGACAUCGUUCCCUCCACCUGCACCUAGAGGAUAUGUGUUCAGGAUCUCGCUAUGGUUAGUUACCCAUGUGCUAGACAUAGGUUGCUAGCUAGAAGUUUUGCCAGCCAUCUUCCCCCCUCCUAGUGCUAAUGCCUAAUUUCCUAAAGUAAUCUGAAUCCUUAUAAGCCAGGGUAGCUCAGGAGGUUCUAUUUACUUAUUUAUUUAUUUUGAGACAGAGUCUCACUGUGUCGCCCAGGCAGAUCUCGUCUGGGCCCGAGUCUCGUUGCAGUGGUCAGAGAUCACGACAAUGCACUCCAGCCCUGCGACAGUGCGAGACUCCGUCUCAAAAAAAAAAAAAAGGUGAGAAUGUGCUUUUCCAGAAUAACCCCAGUUGUAUCUAGAAUUUGUUUUCAAUAUAAAGGCAGGUAUGAGAAUGUUUUGAACAACAGAAUUAAUCCAUCUAGAUUAGAAUGCUGUGUGGCAUGACCAUUCUCGAAUUUUGAAAGCCUGAGCUGGUUGUGGGCAAGGGGAUAUUCAUUAAUGACAUAAAUUUCAUUUAUGAAAUAUGUAUCCAUCAUCUAGGUAUCUUAUACAUGGAGAGCUGACUGCAUCCCUUGUAUAAAAAGUAAAUGAAGACCGGAAGGAAGCAGACUUUGUCCUGCAAACUGAAGCAAAGUUCCAUGCUAAGAAUCAGCAGGUUUUCUAGGUAGGUAAUGCCACCAGUGGAGGAUUAUUACAGUUCUCAAAUCAUGAGGGAAAGAGAUGGAGAAGAGGGAGGGAGGAGGGAAAAUCUUGCAUUCUAAGAGGUAAGAGUCCCCAUUACAAUUGCAAUGCUUCUUUAGACAGCUGAUUUUUCUGGCUGGAAGGCACAUUAAAAAUAACCCUAACAAUAACUUACCAAGACAAUGGAAAUCAAAAGAAAAGAAGGUAGACGUGCAGCUGUCUUAUUAACAUGACAACCAACUACAGCUGAAACAAUACUAUGGUACAGGGACUAGCUCAUGUUAAAGACUGGUUAUUUAGGUAAAGAGGAUCUGGUGCUCUUGGUUUAGCUUCAGUGAUUUUCCAGCACUUAUUAAAGCCAUUGUGCCCUGAACAUGGAGACCCCCAAAUCCUCUAUGUGCCAAAGAUUAAGUUGUAGAGAAUUACAUCAAUGUUUGCUGUUGGUGUGCACCACAGAUGAGACCAAGCUUCCUGGUCCGGCUAAGUGGAAUCUUCCAUGCACUGUGCACCACUCAGCUAGAAAGUCAACUAAGCAGAAAGGAGAUAAGGAAUGGCUAUGGAAUACCUGACUUCUUUAUCUUGGUUAUGUGUCCACAAUUUUCAUAAAAAUAAAUAAUACACAUUAAGUCAAAAUCUGGGCUCAAAUGUGUAACAAGAAAACAAAAGGACAACAAUCUGGUAUUCCGGUUUUUUUUUUUUUUUUGAGACGGAGUCUCGCUCUGUUGCCCAGGCUGGAGUGCAGUGACGUGAUCUCGGCUCACUACAAGCUCCGCCUCCCAGGUUCACACCUUAGCCUCCCGAGUAGCUGGGACUACAGGCGCCCGCCACCACGCCCGCCUAAUGUUUUAAUUUUUUAGUAGAGACGGGGUUUCACCGUGUUGGCCAGGCUGGUCUCGAACUCCUGACCUCAGGUAAUCCACCUGCCUCAGCCUCCCAAAGUGCUGGAAUUACAGGUGUGAGCCACCGCACCCAGCCAACAAUCUGGUAUUCUUAAGGCAAAACAGUAGAAAUCACUUUAAAUAGACACUUUAUUAGAUCCACAGGCGAUAAAAUCCCAGAGCUACUGUUAGGCACGUAAAUAUAGACCCUGUAAGAAAAAAACAAUUGAGAGUACUAUUAGUUCUAUUAAGAGUUACUUGAGGGAACAUCUUUUUUUAAGAAAACCUAAAAAAGAAAACCUAGAAACUUAGAUUGCUCACUGAUGUCCCAUAUUCCGUGAAACGCCUGCCUACUGAAAAAACAAAUCCCACACCCUUUAUUUUAUUUUCUUAUUUUAGAGACAUGGUCUCAUCUGGUACCCAGGAGGAGUGCACCAUGCAAUGGUAUGAUUACAGCUCACUGUGCCUCAAACUCCCGGGCUCAAGUGACCCUCCUGCCUCAGCCUCCCAAGAAGCUGAAGCUACAGGCAGAUGACACCAUGCCCGGCUAAAUCUUUUUGUAGAGACUAGGUCUCGCUGUGUUGCCUAGGCUAAGAAAACUUUUCAAUAAAAGUUUCGAAUAGCAAAAAUUCUGUGGUCACAAGGUCUAUGUAUAUGCACUAUAGAGACAGGAAGACACAAUUUAAUAUAAAGAACAACAUUUCACUGUUAAAUAAUGCUGUAACCUUAAAAUAUUUAAUUAAUCCAAGACGUUAAAUCUGACUUGAAAUAAUGGUUAAUUUGGGUGGGGGGUGGUACAUGAAUGUUCAUUCUCUCUUUUGGAUCAAAAAUCGCGAAAGUAAAAUAACUCCUUAAAAGGAGUUUAAGCAAUUGAAGCAGAAAGAUUACAACUGAAACACCUUCCAUUUUAUCCAUAAAAUAUUUCCUGUCUUGAAUCUCAUUAAAAUCCCUAAUAACUAUAGUUCAAUUAUAGUAUCUUAUCAAAUUUCCAAUUCUAUCAAUUAUAACGUACACAAUUACUUUAUUUACUACUAAGAAAGAAAAAGUGCCAAUUAAACUAUGAUACUUCAUCUACUGGAAAUUGUAAGAUGCUUUCCAAUUUCAGAGAUGUUAAAAUAUUUCAGAAAGUGUUGGAAUCAAUGAAAUGCAGUAUCUGUCAACGACUUAUUUUAUAAAUUUAUUUUCUUUUCAGGUUGAUUUAAAUAGAUACAAAAUAGCUUACCUGCUAAAUAUUUAAUAUU
This 4178-nucleotide long non-coding RNA is filed under the name Homo sapiens (human). RNAcentral's name for it is "HSALNT0101601". The record is from RNAcentral. Lineage: Eukaryota; Metazoa; Chordata; Mammalia; Primates; Hominidae.